AAAAAAAAAAAAAAAAUGGCUUAUAGAGGUUAUGUUACAGACAUAAAGGGAGAUUACUUGUUAAUUAAUAGCCUGAUCCCGAACGAAACAAAUAAUGAAUAUAAAAUUACAUUAUUUAAAAUGAAUCAAAACAAGGAAGAAUUUAAAAAGUACGACAUUAUAAAUACAAUUACUUCAGAAAAGUUUACAAAGUCGUAUAUAGAAAAUGGUUCUAAUUUAGUUGAACUUACAGAAGGUUCUUUUUAUAUAUAUUAUACAGAAAAUAAAGAAAAAAAGUGCAUAUUAAAUUUAAGUAGUUAUUAUGCGAUAGAUUUUAUAUAUUUUAAAAAAUAUAUUAUUUUUAUUAGAAAAGAUGAUUGUCGUGUUUUUCAAUAUUAUAACAAUUGCAAAAGUAAUGUUACGAUAAAAAUGAAUGAAAAUGUUUUGAAAAUUAACUUUUGUUAUUGUAGUAAAAAUAUAUUAUAUUUAACUACUAAUAAAAGGUUAUAUUUUUUAAAAUUAUGCUAUUCAAAAGAUAAAACAAUAAAGUUAAAAAACACAAAUAUGAGUUUACCAUACAAUGGCAAUAUGGAAGAAUAUAUUUAUUAUUCUCAUAAAAAUCCAUUAUAUAAAAUAAAAAAAAAAUAUGAAGAAGUAAUUUAUGUUUGUAGUUAUAUUGAUAAUAAAGUGGUUAUACAUAAAUUAGUAAAAGCAGAAAAAAAUACUAAAAGAAAAAAAAGUACAUUUAAUUUAGUAGUGGAUAAAUUAAAUAAUGAAUCAGUUACUGGAGGCUUUUUUUUUACAGUUAGUUCAGAUGUGAAUAAGAUAGAGCACAUAAAUCAAGAGGGUACAUCUACUUUUGUAAAUACUAAUGUAAUUGGUACUAGAGUAAAAAUAGAUGAUGUAAUUGCUGGUGCUGGUACUGAGGUCAGUACAGCCGAAUCAACUAACCACAACUUAAACGUUAAUUCAUGUGACAAUAUCAACGACGCGUUAAUAAUGUCAGAAUACACAAAUGGUAAUUUAGAUUAUAACAUGCUUAAAAAGGAAAGCAUUGUAACGUUAUCUUAUAAUAAUGAUGAAAAUGUAAAAGGUGAUAGUAGUAUUGCCCCAAAUAUGAUUAAUGGAGAUACUGAAAUAAAAAAAGAAAUAGAAUUAAAAAAAGAUAAUGAAAAUAAAGAUAAGAAUAAGGAAUAUUAUAGUGUUAAAAAGUUGUAUUUGUUAAUUUUUAGUAAUACUGGACAUAUAUUAAUAUAUUUUAUUGAUUAUUUGGAUAUAGAAAAUUUUAAAUAUGGACUUUUACAUACUAAAGCUAAUCCAAUUAUAUACAUCCCAUUAGCUUCUAAAGCAUUAUAUAUAAGUAACAUGUCUGAUGUUUUUAUAAAAAGAGUAAUAAGACAAAAAAAUGUUAUUUUCAAAACAACUAAAUCUUCAAUAAAUUAUAAUAAAUAUGUUGAACAUAUACAAAAAAAAGAACAAUUUGUUCAUAAUAAUUUAUUUAUUGAUGUAUUUUUAGUUAAAGAACAAACAGCAAAAAUGUUUACCAUACAAAUAACUCAUGACUUAUUGAAUCAAACGAAUAAUAAUAAAAAUGUAGUAACAUCUUUAAAUGUAAUAGCAGCAGAUAAUAAGUUUUUUGCUAUUAAAAAAGAUUUAGAUCUUUCUCAGAAAAAGCAAUUAAUAAGUCAUAUUGUGAAUAAUUCUAAAUUUUCAUGUUACUCAGAUAGCGAUUCUUUUAUUGAUAGUGACAUCUCAUGGGACACUGCAAGUCUAACUAAUUAUAACACUUCUUGUAGUGAUAGUGAAAGUAAUGGAUGUAUUAAUAAUCCUUGUACCUAUAGUGAUGACAGAAAGGAAAAUAUUAAAAUGGGUGAAGAAGUUGCAGUUACAGUAAUGGAUGUAAAAACGGGUUCAGUGGAAGCAGGAGGUAAACCAACUACAAAUAACGAAUAUGAUUAUGUUAGUAAAUUGGAUAAAACGGGUGGACAUAACACACAUAACGAACAAAUAAACAAAACCGUCAAUAGUGAUAGUGAUAGUGAUAGUGAUAGUAAUAGUGAUAGUAAUAGUAAUAGUAAUAGUAACAGUAUUAGUAAUAAUAUGGCUGAAGAAAAUGAAAAUAUAAAAUCGAGCAUAAAAACAAAGAAUUAUAAAGAGAACAACAUUAAAUGUAAAAAAGAACCAAAUGGAAAUACAGAAAUAAAUAAAAAGAAUAUGCAACAAAAUCACAUAGAUGUAGAUAUAAAAAAAUGUUUAUCAAAAAAUAAAACUUCAUAUCAUGCAUCAAAUGCUAAUAAUGCUAGCGACGAUUCAUGUAAUUCUACACAGUUGUCAAAUGAUAGAAACAGAAUGAGUGUAACAACAACCUGUAGUAAUAUAAGCACUGAAGACGAUGGGUUGAGAAGCACAACAAACUAUAAGACAGAAGUAGAAACAUGCAACAGUGUGAAGGUGGAGGAACAGGUAAGGGAAAAUUCUAUUGAGAGGGAUAGAUAUAAGGUGGAAGACAUAAAAAUAAUAACGAAUAUAAAAAAAGAGGACACAAAAAGGGAGGACACAAAAAGGGAGGACACAAAAAGGGAGGACACAAAAAAAGAGGACCUAAAAAAAGAGGACCUAAAAAAAGAGAACACAAAAAAAGAGGACCUAAAAAAAGAGGACCUAAAAAAAGAGAACACAAAAAAAGAGAACACAAAAAAAGAGAACACAAAAAAAGAGAACANNNNNNNNNNCACAAAAAAAGAGAACACAAAAAAAGAGAACACAAAAAAAGAGAACAUAAAAAAAGAGAACAUAAAAAAAGAGGACCUAAAAAAAGAGGACCUAAAAAAAGAGAACAUAAAAAAAGAGGACCUAAAAAAAGAGGACCUAAAAAAAGAAGAUGUGAAACAGAAAAGUAAGAAGGAAGCAGUGAAACGAGAAAGUGUAGAAGAGGAACAGGAGAAAGCAAUUAAGGAGGAUAUAAAACAAACAAUAAAAGAAAAGAAACAAGCGAAAAAACUGGAAGAAAAAAAAAAACAGGACGAAGAAGCUGAAAAAAAUAAACAAGCAAGGGAGUUAAAAAAAAAGCAGGAAAAGGUAGAACAGGAAGCAAAAUCAGAAAGAGAAGCAAAAGAAAGUGAUGAAAUAAAAAAACAAAAAAAAACAAAAAAAAGAAAACAUGAAAUAAUAGAAAUAGAGGAAAUAGAGGAAAAUUUAAUAAACAUGAACAGAGAUGGUGAAACAAAAAAGAACAAAACAAAUGAAGUUAUAUUAUUAAACGAUAAAAAAAAUAUAAAUAUAAAUUAUAUAACUUACGAUAUGCAGGACUUACCUAAAUUUAAUGACUCUGUAUAUAAUGAUUUUGUACAAGAUAUCAACAUAAAUAACAACGAAAUGAAUAACCACAUCAAUGAAAAUGAUAUACAAGAAAAUUUUAUUACAUUAUCUUCUACUAUUAAACUUAAUUUAUCAUUAAAAAAUUUUGCAUCAUUAUGCAAUAUAAUACCACAAGGUAAUUACAAAUUAAUUAAAGAUACGAUUAUAAAUUUAGGUAAGAAAUAUUCUAUUAAUUUACUAGAAUUCAUGUUAUUUGUAAUAGAACGUAAGAAAUUUUUUAUAUGUAGGUUUAUUAAUUGGAUAAAGUGUAUAUUUGCAGUAUAUAGGGACACACUCCGAAAAAUGAAAUAUCGUUACAUAAUAACAAAAAUGUCACAUAUAGAGCAAAUACAUUUACAUAACGAAUAUAUUACAAAAAUUAACAUAAAUAAACUGAAUGUCACUGUUAAUAACAUCAGAAAUAAUAUAAUUCUUGAAAAAAUAAAACCUAUAAAUUAUAAAGAUGGAUCUAUAAAGAAGUAAAUAUUAUUUUUUUUUUUUUUUUUUUUUUUUUCUUUUGCAAACAAAAAUUUGUAAACAUAGGAUUAAUCAUAAUUUUUUUUUUUUUUUUAAACUUGUAAAAAUUCGCAAAAAUAGUGACAUCAUAUUUUGUUAUCCAUUAUAUUAAAGAAAAAAAUAAAAAAAAAUAAAAAAAAAUUAAACCA
Piliocolobus tephrosceles (Ugandan red Colobus) is the source of this 4001-nucleotide long non-coding RNA. NCBI's taxonomy places the organism in Eukaryota, Metazoa, Chordata, Mammalia, Primates, Cercopithecidae. The record is from Ensembl.